UACGGUCACAACACGUUAAAUCAUCGGUUCCCGUACGAUCACCUAAGUGAAGCAACCUUAAGCCUAGUCAGUAACUAGAUGGGUGACCGCUUUAAAUACCAGGUGCUGUAA
Non-coding RNA from Acanthosepion pharaonis, 111 nucleotides. The record is from the annotation of a GenBank genome assembly. Lineage: Eukaryota; Metazoa; Mollusca; Cephalopoda; Sepiida; Sepiidae.